GUGAGGGUAUCUUGCUGGAGAUGCCUGCCUAUCUGAGGCCUUUUAAAGGGGAGCAGCACUUUCCUUAAGCGAUGUUUAGAGGACACUAGUCUGCAAGGGUAAUCAUCCUCGCCUCUGGCAGGAAGAGCUCGUGCACUUGCAUUUCCGAGAUGGCUGUCUUUGUGAAUAAUUGAAUUUGUCUCUGGAGCACAAGAUUUCUUUUUCUGUGGGACUAACUGCAGCUCUGCUUCUUUCCUAUGUGCAGCUUGCUUUAAUUGGGGUAGGAGAAAGGUAUAACGGCUGAGGUUUUUGUGAACGUGACGCGUAAUUGAGGUGAUUGCCAUGAAAAGAGACAUUUAUAGUGUUCCAAAUGCCUCCUCCAGCAGUGAAUGGAUCUGUAGAAAAUAAUUAGAGGACCCCCCACUGCCACCCGAAGGAAAAAAAUGAGUGCCAUAUAAGGCAGCAGGAGCGUCAGUGAGCAGCAGGAAGGGCAGCUCUGCUGCACCCAGGGGUGCUCAGAGCCCAACGAUUCCCCUUGGCUGAUAGUUCCUCAGCAUCUGCCUGGGAUGCUGGUUCCCACAAGGAGCAGCCAAGUCCAACCCAAAAGAAAGGGCUUCUCUCGCCAUAAUUAGUGUUGCUGUGAUUGAAACACUAGGACCAAUUGAGGAAAAAAAUCCAUCAAGAUUGGAGGUGCCUCUUUUUACUUUCUUUCAUCGCUAAGGUCAGCAAUGAUGUUGGGUGGCUGGAUUCAGCCAACUAGAUGUGGCACAGCAGCAGUGUGUUUUUAGGAUAUCAUUUUAGGCACGACGGAAUAUAUUCUAAGGGGAAGACGUAGCAAUCUAGUAACAUAAAUAAGCUGCUCAGGGAUUUCUUUGCCUAUUGAAUACAUCCCAUGGCACUUGGGCUAUCUUGUCAAACUGUGAUGCAUACCUCAGACCAAUAAAAAGGCUCAUCUGAGAUUUCUUUGUCCUGAAUAUUACACUAAGUGGUACAAAUCAGCAUGAGCUGAUCAGCAGGAGAAACUAAGGUAACUCCACCCAUGUCUGGAAGUCCAAACUCUAGAUUCAAGUCCAAUUUUCUUGGACUCUAGUCUCUGAAAAUAAUAUCUGGGUUGUGAUCUACUGUGUGAACCAGAAACCAGAGC
Molecule: long non-coding RNA, 1123 nt
Organism: Gallus gallus (chicken)
Lineage: Eukaryota; Metazoa; Chordata; Aves; Galliformes; Phasianidae
Source: Ensembl